Molecule: small RNA, 280 nt
Filed under: Bacillus subtilis subsp. subtilis str. 168
Lineage: Bacteria; Bacillati; Bacillota; Bacilli; Caryophanales; Bacillaceae
Description: BsrH
Rfam family: BsrG
About the family: bsrE, bsrG and bsrH pair through intermolecular interactions with antisense sRNAs. SR4 interaction with the 3'UTR of bsrG RNA promotes bsrG degradation and inhibits its translation. SR5 also overlaps bsrG from nucleotide 163 to 52 (Rfam overlap check).
Source: RNAcentral
UUAGUAUAAAUGAAUAUUGGCUUUCAACAUCUCAAGGGCGGUCUGGCUCACUCCCUCAUGAAAGGGGGUGAUGCACGUGUCAACAUUUCAAGCAUUAAUGCUUAUGCUUGCUUUCGGGUCAUUUAUAAUUGCCCUGUUGACUUAUAUAAAGAAGAAAUAGACCCACCCCUUGAGCUCGGCAAAGUAAAAGGGUAAAGUCUAUCCUAAAUACUUUCAUGAAGUUGUUAAGCCAGCCCUCUUGAUGGGCCAACAUUUAUACUGACCCGGCGGCAACCGGGUC